UUCACGCAUAAAUCUCUCAUUACUCAGCCAUUCACUAAGGAAUCUGACUAAAUGUCUAUCAACACCUUCAUUUUGGAAUGCAGCCAAUGGCAUCCUGUCUGUCUAAUAUACGAAGCCCCUCCCCCUCCGCCCCUAAACAAAAUAUGUUGUCGUAGUCCACCUAAUAAACAAACAAAUGUUUUCCUUUACAUAAAAAGUAUCUGGUCUCUCAAGGGUGGCUUCUCCUCGUGAUUUCCCUUCUUCUUCUUUCAUUUUUAUUUUUUUAACUUCCAGUAAUGAGUUACAGAUUAAGCCCCAUACUUGAUUUUCACUGUUCAUUAACUAAGCCACCUGGAAUGUUAUUAUUUAAGCAUGACAUUUCUUCUCCCCCAACAACUGCCACUGCGAGCAGGAGAUUUCCAGGCCAACUUUAUAGAUUCCUCAUAACUUCCUCUCAGUUUUAAUUUCCCAUUCGUGUGCGGAACAGAUGCACCUCACCAGCCAACCCAAGGACCUCGUUGACAUUCCACUUGUGUCUGCCAUCUUAAAAACAACUACCGCUUAUCAUACCAGGCCUUGGAGGAGAGAUGACAACAUGCAUGCCAUGAAAAAUCAGGACAGAUGAUGCGGCCAUCUUGAGAUCGUUUGUCAUCUGUCAGCCUCCGUUGACCUUGCAACAAACAGAGAGGUGCUGAUACCAUCUUUACGGAAAAGGAGCGCUGUUGUUUUUUGGUGGACCUUGAGGUGGUGGGAGGUGCGGAAGGUCUUCCCACAGUAGGGGCAGUCCUUGAUGGCCGAGCCCAGGCUCCUGUCCCUGUGCUGGGAGGGGGCCUGCUGAACACUCCCUGCUGUCUUCCCCAGGUCAUCCCCGACAUCUUGAGCAACAAGAGAGAGACACACACAGACACACACAAAGGAGGAGCGUCAGGGUGCCCGUAAAUCCAAAGACCAAGGACGUUUCCCGUUUUCCUCUUAUAUGAACUUGUCCAGUGUCUCGGAAAAUGAAAUAAAAAGAUUUAUACUGCUGCUCCAAACACCGGUGUGUCUCGUGAGUGAGCCAUACUAUCAGAAUACAUUAGAGAAAGGCCAGAUUUUGGCAAAGUGGUAUUAAAACAGUGGCCCUCCCCACAGCUCUACCUCCUCUUCAACAGUCCCUCAGGGUUAAACUAGCUCAGUCAAAAUGACACCACUAAUCAGGAUAAUACUAAUAAUUGCCUUGUAUUAUAAAGCAAGAACCAAAUCGAAAUGUGAUUUCUUUCCGCUGUAAAUCCCCAAAAAAGGAGAUCCAUGCCAAUGAAUGAAAAAUAAAAACCUGCCUCCCUCCUUCAGUCUGCGGUGUCUCAGAACCAAAUCCCAUGCUGUCCUCUCCCCUUCUCUACUCGUCCCAUAGCACCCAGUCCACCCAGUUUACACAGGCAAUGCCACGCCUCACACAUACCCCUAUUAAAGAGCACGCUCUGUUCCACUGGCGGAAUGUUCAUCUGUUAUGAAGGUCAUUGACAGAGAGUAAUAAUCACCAUUGGGGAUCUCACAAUUUGCCAUUUCAGAGCAUUGCAGCAGCGCUGAUGACUCAACUAUUAAUAGACUCCCCCUGCCUUAUACGAGU
Molecule: long non-coding RNA, 1585 nt
Organism: Salmo salar (Atlantic salmon)
Lineage: Eukaryota; Metazoa; Chordata; Actinopteri; Salmoniformes; Salmonidae
Source: RefSeq, a predicted model, not a curated record